This 253-nucleotide ribosomal RNA is filed under the name uncultured bacterium. RNAcentral's name for it is "partial 16S ribosomal RNA". It matches the Rfam family "Bacterial small subunit ribosomal RNA", at positions 524 to 776 of the family's 1533-position model. The record is from RNAcentral.
UACGUAGGGGGCAAGCGUUGUCCGGAAUUAUUGGGCGUAAAGAGCGCGUAGGCGGUCCGGUAAGUCGGCUGUGAAAGUCAAGGGCUCAACCCUUGAAAGCCGGCCGAUACUGUCGGACUAGAGUCCGGAAGAGGCGAGUGGAAUUCCCGGUGUAGCGGUGAAAUGCGCAGAUAUCGGGAGGAACACCAAUGGCGAAGGCAGUGUCCUGGCGCGUAACUGACGCUGAGGUGCGAAAGCCAGGGGAGCGAACGGG